This 259-nucleotide ribosomal RNA is filed under the name uncultured bacterium. RNAcentral describes it as "partial 16S ribosomal RNA". It matches the Rfam family "Bacterial small subunit ribosomal RNA", at positions 28 to 276 of the family's 1533-position model. The record is from RNAcentral.
GACGAACGCUGGCGGCGUGCUUAACACAUGCAAGUCGAGCGAGAAAGCACCUUCGGGUGUGAGUACAGCGGCGAACGGGUGAGUAACACGUGGGCAACCUGCCCUGGAGAGCGGGACAACCCGACGGGAAACUACGGGCCUAAUAACCGCAUAUUCCGAUUCGGCCCAGGUCGAAUCGGGAAUGGUAGCUUCGGCCUCCGCUCCGGGAUGGGCCCGCGCCGCAUUAGCUAGUUGGUGAGGUAACGGCUCACCAAGGCGA